RNAcentral lists this transfer RNA (74 nucleotides) under Medicago truncatula (barrel medic). It matches the Rfam family "tRNA". From Rfam's summary of the family: Transfer RNA (tRNA) molecules are approximately 80 nucleotides in length. Their secondary structure includes four short double-helical elements and three loops (D, anti-codon, and T loops). Further hydrogen bonds mediate the characteristic L-shaped molecular structure. tRNAs have two regions of fundamental functional importance: the anti-codon, which is responsible for specific mRNA codon recognition, and the 3' end, to which the tRNAs corresponding amino acid is attached (by aminoacyl-tRNA synthetases). tRNAs cope with the degeneracy of the genetic code in two manners: having more than one tRNA (with a specific anti-codon) for a particular amino acid; and 'wobble' base-pairing, i.e. permitting non-standard base-pairing at the 3rd anti-codon position. The record is from Rfam by way of RNAcentral. Lineage: Eukaryota; Viridiplantae; Streptophyta; Magnoliopsida; Fabales; Fabaceae.
GCUCUUGUAGCUCAGUUGGUUAGAGCACUUGUUUAGUAAGCGGGAGGUCUUGAAUUCAACUUUUAACGAGAGCA